Molecule: ribosomal RNA, 465 nt
Filed under: Vreelandella stevensii
Lineage: Bacteria; Pseudomonadati; Pseudomonadota; Gammaproteobacteria; Oceanospirillales; Halomonadaceae
Description: partial 16S ribosomal RNA
Rfam family: Bacterial small subunit ribosomal RNA
Source: RNAcentral
CCUACGGGGGGCAGCAGUGGGGAAUAUUGGACAAUGGGGGCAACCCUGAUCCAGCCAUGCCGCGUGUGUGAAGAAGGCCCUCGGGUUGUAAAGCACUUUCAGUGAGGAAGAACGCCUGGUGGUUAAUACCCAUCAGGAAAGACAUCACUCACAGAAGAAGCACCGGCUAACUCCGUGCCAGCAGCCGCGGUAAUACGGAGGGUGCGAGCGUUAAUCGGAAUUACUGGGCGUAAAGCGCGCGUAGGUGGCUUGAUAAGCCGGUUGUGAAAGCCCCGGGCUCAACCUGGGAACGGCAUCCGGAACUGUCAAGCUAGAGUGCAGGAGAGGAAGGUAGAAUUCCCGGUGUAGCGGUGAAAUGCGUAGAGAUCGGGAGGAAUACUAGUGGCGAAGGCGGCCUUCUGGACUGACACUGACACUGAGGUGCGAAAGCGUGGGUAGCAAACAGGAUUAGAUACCCUGGUAGUC